UUUAAGCUCUAUAACGUUAUUAUACGUUGCGGUGUUACAUUCGUUUAAAAACGCGCACGUUUUGAAAGAAAACUCUUACAAACUGUAAAGACAAUUUUUUGCAGUUUUUUUUUUGCUAAAUAAAACAAGAACUAGUUUCAGAAAGAAACCUUUAAUUUGCAAAAAAAUGUGUUAAUAUAAACAAUAAAUUUGUUAAUUAUUUAACUAAUGAAGAAAACGGUUAAGAAAAAAACCUUAAAGAAAACUUUUAAGGAAAUUUGUUAAAAAAAUCAAUAAAAAACUGAAAAACUCAAUAUUCUUUCGCUGUCAGUCUCUUUAACUCCUUUAUAAUGAGUGUUUUUCAUUAUUAUUCUCGCAAAAAAACGAGUGUAUUUUCUGGCAGGAGCUUAAAA
Molecule: long non-coding RNA, 392 nt
Organism: Lucilia sericata (common green bottle fly)
Lineage: Eukaryota; Metazoa; Arthropoda; Insecta; Diptera; Calliphoridae
Exons: 2
Source: RefSeq, a predicted model, not a curated record